Pelobates cultripes (western spadefoot toad) is the source of this 108-nucleotide non-coding RNA. The record is from the annotation of a GenBank genome assembly. Lineage: Eukaryota; Metazoa; Chordata; Amphibia; Anura; Pelobatidae.
CACGGUCUUCCCAUUCAAAAUAUUUUCUUUAUUUCAUCAAGUAAACAAAACAAAAAUGAUUUGUUUACUUGAUGAAAUAAAGAAAAUAUUUUGAAUGGGAAGACCGUG